UGGAUUCUUCCCUAUAUAUUAUUUUGUCACCUGAUUGAUAUUUGAUUAUUUUCAUGUUUAGCUAUUCGGUGCAUUUGUUAUCUGACUUUAGUUUUAAAAAAUCCUUUGAAUUAUUAGGUUAAAUAAUAGAAAGAAGAUAAUUACUAGUAAUUGUAGUCCUCAAGGAAAUGAUAUCAUGUCUCACCAACUAUACUAUUAAUUGAGAUGUGCACUUGUUUUAGUCGAUUUAAUAGUUAGUUUUAUGGAUACCACCACUGCUAGAUGACCUCUGAC
RNAcentral lists this long non-coding RNA (273 nucleotides) under Gossypium barbadense (sea-island cotton). RNAcentral describes it as "long non-coding RNA (GBAR_LNC002628)". The record is from RNAcentral. Lineage: Eukaryota; Viridiplantae; Streptophyta; Magnoliopsida; Malvales; Malvaceae.